ACUAAGGAAGACUGAAGAUUGAAAAGGGGGAAAAGAAGGAAAAACCAUGUUCUGUUGCUAUCAUUUAAAAGAAGGGAAAAUAUGUCAAUGCACAUCUUGGCCAUUACUGAACAAGAUCUAACAGGAGAGGUCACUUUUAUUUAAAAAAUAGAGAGGUGAUGUAUGCAUUUGUUAGAAACCUCAGUGGAGGUUCAUGUAAUUUUUUUAAAAAAAGGCAUACAAGCAUGGUAACAAGAUGGGGAAUGAUAAUCAAAAUGCUCUGGCACAAGAAAUGCUAUCAAUGAAAUCCAGGUUGUACCUGGUAGAGAGUGGUCCUUCCCUUGUUGGAGGGGAAAGAGUACGCUGUCUUUAAGGUUUCUUGAGUUAGGAGAAGUUCUCUAUGUCAUUCUUUUUCUGAUAUAACCAAUAUGCCACCAUAUUAGUAAUGUACAUGAGUAACAGCCUUUGUUAAUUCAAUUGUGCUUUGCAUGGUAUAUUUUUGUGUUUUCAUAUAGGAGACAAUAAGAUAAUUAAUGGGGAAAAACCACUCUCCUUG
RNAcentral lists this long non-coding RNA (535 nucleotides) under Vitis vinifera (wine grape). RNAcentral describes it as "long non-coding RNA (VVIN_LNC008007)". Lineage: Eukaryota; Viridiplantae; Streptophyta; Magnoliopsida; Vitales; Vitaceae. The record is from RNAcentral.